GGGUUGUGAGGUUAAGCGACUAAGCGUACACGGUGGAUGCCCUGGCAGUCAGAGGCGAUGAAGGACGUGCUAAUCUGCGAAAAGCGUCGGUAAGGUGAUAUGAACCGUUAUAACCGGCGAUGUCCGAAUGGGGAAACCCAGUGCAAUUCGUUGCACUAUCGUUAACUGAAUACAUAGGUUAACGAGGCGAACCGGGGGAACUGAAACAUCUAAGUACCCCGAGGAAAAGAAAUCAACCGAGAUUCCCCCAGUAGCGGCGAGCGAACGGGGAGCAGCCCAGAGUCUGAAUCAGCUUGUGUGUUAGUGGAACGGUCUGGAAAGUCCGACGGUACAGGGUGAUAGUCCCGUACACCAAAAUGCACAGGUUGUGAACUCGAAGAGUAGGGCGGGACACGUGGUAUCCUGUCUGAAUAUGGGGGGACCAUCCUCCAAGGCUAAAUACUCCUGACUGACCGAUAGUGAACCAGUACCGUGAGGGAAAGGCGAAAAGAACCCCGGCGAGGGGAGUGAAAAAGAACCUGAAACCGUGUACGUACAAGCAGUGGGAGCACCUUCGGGUGUGACUGCGUACCUUUUGUAUAAUGGGUCAGCGACUUAUAUUCUGUAGCAAGGUUAACCGUAUAGGGGAGCCGCAGGGAAACCGAGUCUUAACUGGGCGUUAAGUUGCAGGGUAUAGACCCGAAACCCGGUGAUCUAGCCAUGGGCAGGUUGAAGGUUGGGUAACACUAACUGGAGGACCGAACCGACUAAUGUUGAAAAAUUAGCGGAUGACUUGUGGCUGGGGGUGAAAGGCCAAUCAAACCGGGAGAUAGCUGGUUCUCCCCGAAAGCUAUUUAGGUAGCGCCUCGUGAACUCAUCUUCGGGGGUAGAGCACUGUUUCGGCUAGGGGGUCAUCCCGACUUACCAACCCGAUGCAAACUACGAAUACCGAAGAAUGUUAUCACGGGAGACACACGGCGGGUGCUAACGUCCGUCGUGAAGAGGGAAACAACCCAGACCGCCAGCUAAGGUCCCAAAGUCAUGGUUAAGUGGGAAACGAUGUGGGAAGGCACAGACAGCCAGGAUGUUGGCUUAGAAGCAGCCAUCAUUUAAAGAAAGCGUAAUAGCUCACUGGUCGAGUCGGCCUGCGCGGAAGAUGUAACGGGGCUAAACCAUGCACCGAAGCUGCGGCAGCGACACUAUGUGUUGUUGGGUAGGGGAGCGUUCUGUAAGCCUGCGAAGGUGUGCUGUGAGGCAUGCUGGAGGUAUCAGAAGUGCGAAUGCUGACAUAAGUAACGAUAAAGCGGGUGAAAAGCCCGCUCGCCGGAAGACCAAGGGUUCCUGUCCAACGUUAAUCGGGGCAGGGUGAGUCGACCCCUAAGGCGAGGCCGAAAGGCGUAGUCGAUGGGAAACAGGUUAAUAUUCCUGUACUUGGUGUUACUGCGAAGGGGGGACGGAGAAGGCUAUGUUAGCCGGGCGACGGUUGUCCCGGUUUAAGCAUGUAGGCUGAUUGUCCAGGCAAAUCCGGAUAAUCAAGGCUGAGGUGUGAUGACGAGGCACUACGGUGCUGAAGUAACAAAUGCCCUGCUUCCAGGAAAAGCCUCUAAGCAUCAGGUAACAUCAAAUCGUACCCCAAACCGACACAGGUGGUCAGGUAGAGAAUACCAAGGCGCUUGAGAGAACUCGGGUGAAGGAACUAGGCAAAAUGGUGCCGUAACUUCGGGAGAAGGCACGCUGGUGUGUAGGUGAAGUCCCUGCGGAUGGAGCUGAGACCAGUCGAAGAUACCAGCUGGCUGCAACUGUUUAUUAAAAACACAGCACUGUGCAAACACGAAAGUGGACGUAUACGGUGUGACGCCUGCCCGGUGCCGGAAGGUUAAUUGAUGGGGUUAUCCGUAAGGAGAAGCUCUUGAUCGAAGCCCCGGUAAACGGCGGCCGUAACUAUAACGGUCCUAAGGUAGCGAAAUUCCUUGUCGGGUAAGUUCCGACCUGCACGAAUGGCGUAAUGAUGGCCAGGCUGUCUCCACCCGAGACUCAGUGAAAUUGAACUCGCUGUGAAGAUGCAGUGUACCCGCGGCAAGACGGAAAGACCCCGUGAACCUUUACUAUAGCUUGACACUGAACAUUGAGCCUUGAUGUGUAGGAUAGGUGGGAGGCUUUGAAGCGUGGACGCCAGUCUGCGUGGAGCCAACCUUGAAAUACCACCCUUUAAUGUUUGAUGUUCUAACGUUGGCCCCUGACCGGGGUUGCGGACAGUGUCUGGUGGGUAGUUUGACUGGGGCGGUCUCCUCCCAAAGCGUAACGGAGGAGCACGAAGGUUAGCUAAUCCUGGUCGGACAUCAGGAGGUUAGUGCAAUGGCAUAAGCUAGCUUGACUGCGAGCGUGACGGCGCGAGCAGGUGCGAAAGCAGGUCAUAGUGAUCCGGUGGUUCUGAAUGGAAGGGCCAUCGCUCAACGGAUAAAAGGUACUCCGGGGAUAACAGGCUGAUACCGCCCAAGAGUUCAUAUCGACGGCGGUGUUUGGCACCUCGAUGUCGGCUCAUCACAUCCUGGGGCUGAAGUAGGUCCCAAGGGUAUGGCUGUUCGCCAUUUAAAGUGGUACGCGAGCUGGGUUUAGAACGUCGUGAGACAGUUCGGUCCCUAUCUGCCGUGGGCGCUGGAGAAUUGAGGGGGGCUGCUCCUAGUACGAGAGGACCGGAGUGGACGCAUCACUGGUGUUCGGGUUGUCAUGCCAAUGGCACUGCCCGGUAGCUAAAUGCGGAAGAGAUAAGUGCUGAAAGCAUCUAAGCACGAAACUUGCCCCGAGAUGAGUUCUCCCUGAGACCUUAAGUCUCCUGAAGGAACGUUGAAGACGACGACGUUGAU
Molecule: ribosomal RNA, 2843 nt
Filed under: Klebsiella pneumoniae
Lineage: Bacteria; Pseudomonadati; Pseudomonadota; Gammaproteobacteria; Enterobacterales; Enterobacteriaceae
Description: bacterial LSU rRNA
Rfam family: Bacterial large subunit ribosomal RNA
Source: RNAcentral